Molecule: long non-coding RNA, 929 nt
Organism: Girardinichthys multiradiatus
Lineage: Eukaryota; Metazoa; Chordata; Actinopteri; Cyprinodontiformes; Goodeidae
Exons: 4
Source: RefSeq, a predicted model, not a curated record
UAAUCUCACCUAAAGUCACCGAAAUGGCAUCAGUCGGCUCUGAACACAGGUUAACUAAGUAAAACAAAGGCUCCAAACCUCAGUCACAGUUGUCAAAAUUAUUUCCUUCCUGAUCUUGCCAUAGAUCAGGUGAAGUGCAUCAAUUCUUCUUGCAGCAGAACACUCACAUGACAUGAUGAUGCCACCAUUGCACUUCACAGUUGCAGGCUUCUCCCUUCUUUGACCAAAUGCAAAGAUGUGGCACAGAGGGGUGGAGAAUCUGGGUGGAUGACAACAACACCAGGAGAAGCUUCUACAUUAAAGAUGCCUUGAUAGCAGCAAACAAGCGGUGCCACUCCACUAGGAGCCUGUCCACCUCAUGGGCUGCCAUAACUGAGGUGCCCCUGGAGGCCAUUUGUGAGUCAGCUUCCUGGAUGGCGCCAAACACCUUUGCCAGGUUCUACAGGGUGAACGUGGCCACGCCCCAUCCCUUACAGGGUGUCCUUGAGCAACCGCCUUCCGCGUCCCGGUGAGUGACUCUGGGAUCCGUGGGGGAAGCCUGACGUCGAGUGAACUCUGCCGCACGGCCUCCCUUAACCUGGAUGGCUGAAAGUCCCGGGGUAUAGAUUUGCAUCAGAUCAGUGGAUUAUCGUCUUGCUCAACACCGGGUGACUCUCAGAGGAUUCAGAGAGUCACCGAGAAGUCAACUCCGAGGUGAGACAGUUUUAAAAUAGAAUAAGCGCUAAGAUAAGAAAAAGACGUUGGUAGUGUGUCGCCGGUAAGGACACUGCAUUGGGAAGGUUUUAUUCCACCGUGAAGGGAAUAGUGACAAAUUAGGUAAGAUCCCGCCUUGAAGGGGAUCAAAUAAAAUGACUAAGGGUUAUUCCCCUGAGAGGGAAUAGAAUAAGCGCUAUAAAAGAAUAAAGAACGGAAUAAAUUGAGCUCAUAAA